RNAcentral lists this long non-coding RNA (2447 nucleotides) under Equus caballus (horse). Its description in RNAcentral is "lncRNA (ENSECAG00000057806.1)". Lineage: Eukaryota; Metazoa; Chordata; Mammalia; Perissodactyla; Equidae. The record is from RNAcentral.
CAUUUUAAUUCAGGUCUGUUGGAGGAGGUCAGAGAGAGGACACGACCACUGGUUGACCUUCCAGCUGACCUGGGCAAUCAGAGACACCUGUCCUUGGAAUGUACAUUCCGCCCACCAUUCCCGCAGCCGGAGCUGUUUUCGCUUUGAGAUAGUAAGGGGGUUGCUGAGACCUGCGUGGAAACCGUGACUGAAUCCCGUGAGGCCUCCUUAUGAAUUUUUAAGAUUCUGGUGGGACGGUACAGAGAUCUGCUCGUCUCGAGGUCGCCCAAGACGAGCACCAUACGCAAAUGAGACCUGAACAUUCCUUUCCCACUGUGGGUGGGUUACAAUUUGAAGGAAGCCGUUCACCCAGCCAUCUAAUUUCCCAGAGAUCUUGAUUGCGAAGGACCGUUUGCAGAUCCCAUCGGAGGGGCCCAGGUCAGGGGACACCUGGGAGCUGACUUCUCCAGAUCUACACGAGGACGACACAGAAGCCUGGGAGUCCCUUUCCCCCGUCCUCUCUGCUAUUUGGACUGCUCUAUCUGCUUUCAUCCUAGAAGGAAGAACGAGAAGAGGAUUGAACAUAUGGUGGAAAUAUCAUAAUUCUUGUGCUUUGCAUGAACUGUGAUUAUUGAUGAUCGGAAGGCUUCCUGCUUAAGAAGGGAUGUUCUUGUUGCCCUAAGAAAUGAGCCUCUCAAGAGGAACCCACAACCCAACAUGAAGAAGUAACGAGAGUGGGGUUCAGGGAAAGGGUGCAUUAGGCAAUCUACUUGGACAUCUUCUUGGCCAUGGCAAGAACUGGAGGGGCCAUGAAGGUCAAAUAAUUCUAGAACUAUUGCAGGAGAACAGACUGGCACUUGGAAACAGAGCCCUGGUCAAUGGCUAAAGAGAGCAUUAUCUAGUGUGUCUUCAGGGUAGUAAUGGUAGAUUUCCUUACAGUGGCCAUUUGAGAAUUGGGGGAAUUAGGGUUCUAGGCAUCCCAUUUCCACCUUGAGAUGCCGCUCAUGUGGUGUAUGAGAGGGUGUGGAAGCCUGUAUGGAGUAUGCUCUGUGAGCCCUGCGGUCAUUUUACCUGAUGUUCCUGUAGCUUUCACAUAUGCUGUGUCAGAUGCCUUAGAACAGCAAUGAUAACACAUUUUGGGCUAAUGAAGGGGGAGGAUGUUACUUCAGCUGCUAUUUUACAUCAUCCUCAGGAGCUUCCUGGGUGUUACCUGAAACCAGCCCCCACAGCAGAGGGUAGGGAGAGACCAAAGAAAGAGGCAGACCACUGGAGGUUGAUAGGCGGCAGAGGUAAUAAGCAAGGGAACUUCCUUAUCAGACUUGUCUUGGGCAGCCUCAAGACAAGUAGAUUUCCACGCUGCCUGCCAAAUCUUACGCUUUUAUAUAAAAGCAUUAACUGGAUUCAGUCAUGUAUACUGUCCAGAUAGUCUCAAAACUACAUUUCUGUCUCAAGGCUGUAUCCAUGGGACAGCCUCUGGGAAGUCGGAAAGCAAGCAGAAUGCACAUUACAAGGAGAGGAGUAGGGAUGGGGAACCUCCAAUUGCCCAGGUCCAGCGCACAGGUCAGCCAGAGGUCACGUCUUCUUGAUGACCUCCUCCAACAUCAGCAAAGCACCAGCAUAGGAGAAAGUGUAUCCUGUAAGUGUGCUCAAGUUUUCUCAGAUACUGUCAACAGAGAAACUGGUGGGAUGAUCUGAGAGGCUUGUGUUGAUUGACAGGGCCUUCUCCUGGAGUCUAUGCUUCAGGCGCAUUUCCUGAUGUCUCAGUAUCAACUGAACACUUUGCAGAAGACCAUGCCCUAGAGAACUGGGUGCUCCCAUUUCUCUCUCUAGUUCCAGUUUCCUUUUGUGUUUGGUUCAUGGGUAAGUGGCAGUGUGGAGAUGACUCUUAUUUGUUAGCUGGAUGCAGUGAGGACCUGCCUUUCACUAAAGUAUGUAAACGAGUGUUUAUGUAGGAAAACGUCAGAGUCCCUUCUCUUUCUCUCUCUCGCUCCAUAUGUAUAAAUAAUGUUUUUCUAAAUACCUCCACUUAUAAUGCCAUUCUCCAUGAAUUUUAUCAAAAAGCUGAGACUUUGAUGAUCAUUAUACAGGUUAUAUUAUACAUAUUAUUAUAUAGAUAUACUAUGAAAUAGAUGACUGUUAUGUAGGUUAGAAGAUUUAGAAGCCAGGGUCCCCACAAAGUUAAGCAAUUUUUAUUUGCACAGCUCAGUAAAGUGGAAACAUGGAGCAGAUCCCAGACCCUCUGGCUCCAAGGGAUCGUGUCCAACAGACAUGACAAUUCUGUUUGCACGAUGUCUGGCACCUUGUAGGUGCUCAAAAUAUAUUGUUGAGUAAAUGAAUAAAUGUCUAGAAGUCUUUUGGUCAUGAACUGAUUACCUCCAUUCUUUUUUCUUUGUUUUGAUCUGCUGUGUCAGCCUAGGCAGGUGCUCAAUUUUUCUCAUGACAAAGUCCCUCAGUCACCUUUUGCCCCU